This is an RNA transcript of Megalobrama amblycephala (Wuchang bream), 9114 nucleotides long. It is a transcript of the gene named hemicentin-1-like, with no coding region annotated. The transcript is spliced from 21 exons. Lineage: Eukaryota; Metazoa; Chordata; Actinopteri; Cypriniformes; Xenocyprididae. The record is from RefSeq and is a predicted model, not a curated record.
AUCAAAGCCAACAGUCGUUCUGAAGCAAGAUCCAUCAUAUCCAGAGAUCUACACUGGGGAACAAGUCAAACUCAUUUGUAGCAUUAAGGAGGAGACAUCAAAAUGGCAAUAUCAGUGGCAAAAACAUUCAGUGCUAGUAAACAAUAAUACUUACACUAUCCUAAAUGCUACACUCGAUCAAAACGGGGAAUACAAUUGUACCAUAACAAGGAGAGAGAUGACAUACACAGAGACCACAAAACUGAAUAUAAGCGAGCCGCCUCAACCAAAACUGUCAAUAGAGUCUGAAUGGAAAACAUUUUACCCAAAUGAAAAUGUGACUCUAAAGUGUUCAAUCGAUGGUGGUCCAAAAGAAUGGGGCUAUGCAUGGUUUAGAAACAGAUCUCAGCUUUCAGAUGUCAAGAACAUUUCCAUUUCUGGAGACACACUCUCAAUCAGCUCAGCAAAAGCGAGUCAUUCAGGACAGUAUAACUGCAGAGGAAAACAUCUGACGAGAACACCAGUGACUACAAGACAAACAGAACCUCUGCAACUUCAAAUUUAUGAUAACACACCAAAACCAGACAUCACAAAGCAUCUGUGGUUUGAGUUCUUCUACACUGGGGAGAAAGUCCAGCUCGGUUGUAACAUGCCUGGUGAUGGAUGGAAUUAUGACUGGUAUAAAGACUCUAAACCUCUGAACACAGAACCCCCCUUCCCUAUCAGCUCAGCAUCUCUCUCUGACGCUGGUGUCUAUUACUGCAAAGCAAAGAGAGGAGACUUCUCAGUGGACAGUGAGACUCUACGAGUGCAAGUUCAAGAGCCGCCUCAACCAAAACUGUCAAUAGAGUCUGAAUGGAAAACAUUUUACCCAACUGAAAAAGUGACUCUGAAGUGUUCAAUUGAUGGAGGUUCAAAUGAAUGGGGCUAUGAAUGGUUUAGAAAUAGCGCUCUGAUUUCAGUUGACAAGGACAUUUCCUUUUCUGGAGACACACUCUCAAUCAGCUCAGCAAAAGAGAUUCAUUCAGGACAGUAUACCUGCAGAGGAAAACAUCUGAACAGAACGACAGUGACUACAAGACAAGCAGAAGCUUUGAAACUUCAAAUUUAUGAUAAAACACAAAAAACAGACAUCACAAAGCAUCGGUGGUUUGAGUUCUUCUACACUGGGGAGAAAGUCCAGCUUGGUUGUAACAUGCCUGGUGUUGGUUGGAAUUAUGACUGGUAUAAAGACUCUAAACCUCUGAACACAGAACCCCCCUUCCCUAUCAGCUCAGCAUCUCUCUCUGACGCUGGUGUCUAUUACUGCAAAGCAAAGAGAGGAGACUUCUCAGUGGACAGUGAGACUCUACGAGUGCAAGUUCAAGAACCACCUGAACCAAAACUGUCAAUAGAGUCUGAAUGGAAAACAUUUUACCCAACUGAAAAAGUGACUCUGAAGUGUUCGAUUGAUGAAGAUAUAAAUGAAUGGGGUUAUGAAUUGUUUAAAAACGGAGCUCAGCUUUCAGGUUAUGAGGACAUUUCCUUUUCUGGAGACACUCUCUCAAUCAGCUCAGCAAAAGCGAGUCAUUCAGGACAGUAUACCUGCAGAGGAAAACAUCUGAAGAGAACAACAGUGACAACAAGACAAACAGAAGCUUUGAAACUACAUAUUUAUGAUAACACACCAAAACCAGACAUCACAAAACAUCAGUGGUUUGAGUUCUUCUACACUGAGGAAGAAGUCCAGCUUGGUUGUAACAUGCCUGGUGAUGGUUGGGAGUAUGACUGGUAUAAAGACUCAAAAACCUUGAUCACAAAUCCAACCUUCACUAUCAGUUCAGCAUCUCUCUCUAACACUGGUGUCUAUCACUGCAAAGCAAAGAGAGGAGACUUCUCAGUGGACAGUGAGACUCUACAAGUGCAAGUUAAACACCCACCUCAAACAAAACUCUCAAUAGAGUCUGAAUGGAAAACAUUUUACCCAACUGAAAAAGUGACUCUGAAGUGUUCAAUUAAUGGAGGUUCAAAUGAAUGGGGCUAUGAAUGGUUUAGAAAUAGCGCUCAGCUUUCAGUUGACACAGACAUUUCCUUUUCUGGAGACACACUCUCAAUCAGCUCAGCAAAAACGAUUCAUUCAGGACAGUAUACCUGCAGAGGAAAACAUCUGAAGAGGACACCAGUGACUACAGGACAAGCAGAAGCUUUGCAACUUCAUAUUUAUGGUGACACACCAAAACCAGACAUCAGAAAAGAUGUGUGGUUUGAGCCCUUCUACACUGAGGAGGAAGUCCAGCUUGGUUGUAACAUGACUGGUGAUGGAUGGAAGUAUGACUGGUAUAAAGACUCAGAAACCUUGAUCACAGAUCCAACCUUCACUAUCAGCUCAGCAUCUCUCUCUAACACUGGUGUCUAUCACUGCAAAGCAAAGAGAGGAGACUUCUCAGUGGACAGUGAGACUCUACAAGUGCGAGUUGAAGAGCCGCCUCAACCAAAACUGUCAAUAGAGUCUGAAUGGAAAACAUUUUACCCAAGUGAAAAAGUGACUCUGAGGUGUUCAAUUGAUGGAGGUUCAAAUGGAUGGGGCUAUGAAUGGUUUAAAAACGGAGCCCAGCUUUCAGUUUAUGAGGACAUUUCCUUUUCUGGAAACACACUCUCAAUCAGCUCAGCAAAAUUGAGUCAUUCAGGACAGUAUACCUGCAGAGGAAAACAUAUGAAGAGAACACCAGUGACUACAGGACAAGCAGAAGCUUUGCAACUUGAUAUUUAUGAUAAUACACCAAAACCAGAUAUCAUAAAACAUCUGUGGUUUGAGUUCUUCUACACUGAGGAAGAAGUCCAGCUUGGUUGUAACAUGCCUGGUGAUGGAUGGAAAUAUGACUGGUAUAAAGAUUCAAAACCUCAGAUCACAAAUACAACCUUCACUAUCAGCUCAGCAUCUCUCUCUGACGCUGGUGUCUAUCAAUGCAAAUCAAAGAGAGGAGACUUCUCAGUGGACAGUGAGAGUCUACAAGUGCAAGUUAAAUACCCACCUCAACCAAAACUGUCAAUAGAGUCUGAAUGGAAAACAUUUUACCCAAAUGAAAAAGUGACUCUGAAGUGUUCAAUUGAUGGAGGUUCAAAUGAAUGGGGCUAUGAAUGGUUUAGAAAUAGAGCUCAGCUUUCAGUUGACAAGGACAUUUCCUUUUCUGGAGACACACUCUCAAUCAGCUCAGCAAAAGCAAGUGAUUCAGGACAGUAUAACUGCAGAGGAAAACAUCUGACGAGAACACCAGUGACUACAGGACAAACAGAUGCUUUGCAACUUCAUAUUUAUGUUGACACACCAAAACCAGACAUCAGAAAAGAUGCAUGGUUUGAGCCCUUCUACACUGAGGAGGAAGUCCAACUUGGUUGUAACAUGCCUGGUGAUGGAUGGAAGUAUGACUGGUAUAAAGACUCAAAACCCUUGAUCACAGAUCCAACCUUCACUAUCAGCUCUGCAUCUCUCUCUAACACUGGUGUCUAUCACUGCAAAGCAAAGAGAGGAAACUUCUCAGUGGACAGUGAGACUCUACAAGUGCGAGUUGAAGAGCCGCCUCAACCAAAACUGUCAAUAGAGACUCCAUGGAAAACAUUUUACCCAAGUGAAAAAGUGACUCUGAAGUGUUCAAUUGAUGGAGGUUCAAAUGAAUGGGGCUAUGAAUGGUUUAGAAACGGAGCUCAGCUUUCAGUUGACAAGGACAUUACCUUUUCUGGAGACACACUCUCAAUCAUCUCAGCAAAAGUGAGUAAUUCUGGACAGUUUACCUGCAGAGGAAAACAUCUGAAGAGAAUGCCUGUGACUACAAGACAAGGAGAAGCUUUGCAACUUCGUAUUUAUGUUGACACACCAAAACCAGAGAUCAGAAAAGAUCAGUGGUUUGAGUUCUUCUACACUGAGGAGAAAGUCCAGCUUGGUUGUAACAUGCCUGGUGAUGGAUGGAAGUAUGACUGGUACAAAGACUCAGAAAACUUGAUCACAGAUCCAACCUUCACUAUCAGUUCUGCAUCUCUCUCUAACACUGGUGUCUAUCACUGCAAAGCAAAGAGAGGAGACUUCUCAGUGGACAGUGAGACUCUACAAGUGCGAGUCAAAGCGCGUCCACCUGCAGUUCUGAGUCUGGAGACCGAAUUGAGCGACAUUAUGUCUGGAAAUAUCCUGACCCUCAGGUGUAACGUCUCAGAGGGCAGACAGUGGAGCUACACCUGGUUCGAGAAUGGACAGAAUCUCAAUGGGUCAUCUCAUAUGUUCAAAGUGACAGCAACUGAAGAAACUAUUAAAAGUGAAUUCAAAUGCAAGGGAAUAAGGACAAAGAGACCACUGUACUCUGCUCUGAGUGAGGGCUUCACGGCCAAUACUAUUAUAUUAAAAAGAAAAAUUCUGCUGGCCAUCUCAGGAUUUCUCAUCUGCUGUAUUGUAAGCCUGAUCAUUGGAUGCCUCGUUCUAAGAUUCACCUGUAAAUCAGAGAAAAAAGAAACAGUACAAGAGGACUUGUUUUUCUCAAUGGCAGACUCCAAUAACCGGCUGCAUUCUGCCCCGGCAAAUGUUGCAAAACGUUUUUUUAAAUGGAAACGGUGGUGCGUUGCACACCCUGUUCUGAUGAUGCAAAAGUUGCAACUAUGGCAGCUGAGAAGGCCAUUCUUUGUGUUCUUUUUGAAGAAUUUUUGGAUCCUGAUGAAGUCGGUAUAAAUACAUGUUGAAUACUGCAAAAUACGUUCAAUGUUACAGUCAAUGCCCUUGCCGUCCUGAAUAAAAGAGAACACAUUUGUAAACAGCUUUACUUGUACCAAUUGUGCAAGCUGUCUCUUUAAUACCGUGUGGUUUAUAUACAUGUUGAUGCUGAUUGGGCUGACAUUUUUGACACACCCACCAAACAAGAGAAAAUGUAUCUCAAACCCUGUUGCACACCAUUGCACACCGUUUCCAGGAAACAUGUCGUUCAACCCAGAAACCUUGAACUUGAGCUUGAACGUGCCCCAGGUUUGUUAUGUUUUGCCAUGUGAUCCCAUGUCAUGUGAUUCCCUUGUCCUCAUGUGAUCCUGCCAUGUGCUCCCUUGUCAUGUGUCCUGUGUUGUCAAUGGUUCAUUGGGUUGAUUGUGCACAGGUGUGUCUUGUCAUUAGUCCCUGUGUAUUUAAGCCCUCAUGUUUGUCAUUUUUCUUUGUUAAGCAUUGUUCCGUGUACCACUGUUUGGUCAGUUUGUUCCUGUUCUUUGUUUGCCAAGCUUAAGCCAUGCCAUGCCAUGCCAUGCCAUGCAAUGCCAAGCCAAGUCAAGUCUAUGUUAUGUUUUGUUUGAUCUUGUAAUGGAAUAAAACUGCACUUGGGUUAUCCACGACUUGCCUACAGUGGAUCCUCAUUACAAAUGUACAGUUUGUACAGUGUAUAUAUAUAUAUAUAUAUAUAUAUAUAUAUAUAUAUAUAUAUUUUUUUUUUUUUUUUUUUUCAAAUGUAAAAAUGCAGAAGGAUUUCUGUGGUGGGUUGAGUUAAGGGAUAAAAUAUACAGUUUGAAUAGUAAAAAAACCUAUGUCUAUGGAAAGCCCUCAUAAAACAUGAAAACGUCUCAAGUUAUGCAUGUAACCAUGGUUCUUUAAAAUUGGGAACAAGAUGCUGUGUCCCCUAGGGGUUGCCAGAGAUGGAAACUCGAGUCUGCGACUUGGACUCAAGUCGCACUUAAGUCACAAAAAUAAACGACUUGCAACUUGACUUGGACUCAUGAACUACUAACUCGUGACUUGACUUGGACUCAUGAACUACUAACCCAAGACUUGACUCAAGACUUGAGUUGAACUUGAAGACAGAGACUUGUGAAAAAUGCAAAUCUUUUGGCGUGACAUUCCAGAUUAUGUUCUCUAUUUACUACCCCACACGAUGGCACGAAACACCACAUUUUACUAUCCAUUCAUUCCCAAAUAUGUGCUGCAGCAGCAAAUAUCACAAAUCAUCUCUAAACACACCAAGCAAUUGAGCGCGUGACACAUUUGAAGGUACACAAAUUCAUCACCCCUUAGAAAACUUGUUAAAUUAGCAACAAAUAAUAACAAUAUAACCAAGCCUUACCUUGCAAUAAACUUUGUCAUUUCAUUUGAAAAGCAAUUAAUUAAUCCGAAGGGAAGCUGCGGUUUUGCACAGCUGCAGAGGCUUGCUUGUGGUCCGUUUUCAAGAAGUACAUGUCCUUUUCAUUUUUUUUUUUUUUUAAUUUAUUUUUGCACAAGUAUUUGAUAAUGCAUAUAAUAUCCAGAUUUACCAUGUUAAAUUGUAUUUGGAUUGAACGUGCACUUCCACGUGCAUUUUAUGACACUGUCUGUCCGACUUAUUUCCACAGGCCGGUUUGUUAAGUCGCAGUGCGUUAUUAUAUCACCUUAUCACAAUCGAGACACACAAAUGGAAAUGUUGUUCAUUGUUUUGUUUACUGUAACGCUUGUCUAUACAUAGAUAUUGUUACCGUCAGCGCUCACUGGAAGACUACAUUUUCCAGCAUUGCUUGAGAUCUACAGCAAACAACCGCAACUCAUAUAGCUCAAAAUACACGGCACUUUUUUCCUUGCGGUGGUUCUAAAUAGUAUCAUUUUGUAUAAAUUUAGAAAGUAAUAGAAAUUAUUUAAGUAGUAUUUUGUGUGCUUUAUUAGACCAUUUUAAAGUAAAAGUAAUCUGUUUUGAUAUUUAAAUAAACUGUUUAUAUUAUAACAACUAGCUGAAAAAAAUAUAUUGAUAAAAAUAGAACAAAGACUUGACUUGAGACUUGACUUGGAUCCCUAAAGACUUGAGACUUGACUUGGACUUGACUUGACUUGGUCCUCAAAGACUUGAGACUUGACUUGAACUUGACUUGACUUGGUCCUCAAAGACUUGAGACUUGACUUGGACUUGACCGCAGGGAAUUGUGAACAUGUCUGGGGGUUGCUAGGGGGAAUGCCUCUGGCAUGCCAGGUGUUUUAAGUGUCUGAAGUCUAAAUACAACAAUGAACUUGACAUCGGCAGGUGGCAGUCUAUGACGUCACCACAGGUGCUAUGAAAGGGCACCUGAAAAUGACGUCAUCCACUUCUUGUCUGAAGGAGACUUUGCAGGAAUGUCUGAAUCAUGGCAAAGGGACGCAGCAUCUCAUUCCCUAUUCUCAGGGAACCUUGGUUACGUGCAUACUUAGAGAUGUUCCCUUUCGAAAGGGAACUUGCGCUCUUAGGGGUCGCUAUGGGGAAUGGAAUACUCAUGCUGCCAUGCUGAAGGGAUGAAUGCCUUAUUUGCUGAGCUAAGUGAAAGACUCAAAGAGUCUUCAUCCCUAGGUGCACCAGUGACAACCAUAGGCAGGAGCUUCUCAAGAAUGGAGGCCUCAAGGAAGACUCUAACAGAGGAAGCCUAGCUAUGUUCAUACUCAGACCAGCUUCCAAAAAGGCUCACAGAGAGCCUAAAAUACUCAAACUUCCAAAAAGCAGCCCUAGAAAGAGGAGGCCUUAACAGCUGGCCCACGAGGCUCCACAGGUGGAGGCCUAAAUAAUAAUAUGAGGCCUAACAACGCUCAUAUAAGCCAAGGAAGCUCAAAGAGAGCCCGGCGACUUAGCAAAUAAUAGCCGAGCUCUUGAAGCGGAUGCCUUCAAAAUAACUGCUCUCUAAUCGUGAGGAGGCCUAACAAUGCCCCACACUCAGGAUGUCUAGAAAGGAGGCUCACAGUGAGCCUUCAACUCAAAAAGGCCUCCGCUCCGUGGAGAGUGGAAACCUAAAUAAAUAUAACUCUUGCUAACAAGAGGAGGCCAGACGACCCCCCACAGUAGCCAUGGAGGCUUAGAGAGAGCCUAACAACUUGGCAAACAUAGCUAGGAGUGGAGGCCCCUCAAAGCCCCUCCUGGCAUAACCAGGUCCUUCAGCAGAUCAGCCUGGUAGGCUUGCAACACAGCCAAAGUGUGCAUCAACAUGCCAUCCUGACCUACUGCCGCAUAUGCUCUGGCAUUAAGAUGCGAGAUGACGUUAGUAGGCAGAGACGAAGCCUUAAACGUGGAUGCCACGCCCAUUGUGAAAUAGCUGGCCAACGUCUCUUUGAUCGGAGGCAUCAACGCUUUCUCAUGCUCCUGCAUUCCCUCAACAACAUCAUAAAUCACCUGAGCGCGGUGGGUAUGGGCAGUAUAUGGCAUGCUCUAAGAUCUCUGCACCUCAUUGUGAAGAUCUGGGAGAAAAGAAAGGCACGUAUGAGAUUGAUAGUUAUGUCCCGACAGGAACCGUUAAUCUAGGCGACCGCGAAGGGGCUCAGGCUUCUCACGUUUCCACAGCAUGUCUAUGCCUGACGUCCCUGUUGAAAAAAACAGCUUAUGCUGGUUAGGUAUGUUUUGAAGCAUGGCAGCUGGUUUAAGCUGGUCAAGUGUUGGUCCUAAGCAACUAGCUCCAUCUCAGGACCAGCUUAUAACCAGUUUAGGACCAUCUUAAACCAGCUCAUGACCAACUUAGGACCAGCAUAAACCAGCUCAAACCAGCUGCCAUGCUUCAAAACAUACCUAACCAGUAUAUACUGUUUUUUAUCAACAGGGAUAACAUCCAAAAACUCGUCAUAUGCUGAGCAAGUGGGCUGAGAGCACAAGGAGCAUUGUAGCUGCCGGAUCAGAUGAUGAGAGAGAUAAUGCAUCAUCAUCUGGCAGCUCACACUUCUGGUAAUGACUGAGAAACAAUCCGCGAGCUCCACCUAUGAUCCCCACAACUUUUGUUUCCUACUCUCCUAAGCCGCAGCAGGUCCUGAACUGCGAGACACAGAUGGCUGGCUUUAUUCCUGGAAAAAAGGGCCAGACAAGAGUGAAAGUCCUCAUAGAAAGGCGCUCAAAAUGCAUGCAAAAAGUCCCCUCAAGGACUGAGCCUGCGAGCUGCUUACUCAUGUGCAUGCACAUAUCGCGGUGUCACAUGAAGCUGACAUUGAAGCAGAGUGAGUUCCCUUUCGAUAGUUAACCCAGUGUGUGUGUGCGUGUGUGUGUGCACGCAUUUACAUUUAUAUGGAUCUUUAAUUACUCUAUAGAAACUGCUUCACCCUUGGAGCAGUACAUGGACAACAGUCCCACAGAGAUGGAAGAAUGUGAGGAAAAAGAAGAAUUGCUCACUGAUCAUGUUGCAGCUCUUCCUGAAGAUGAUGUGAUUAAAGAUGAAGACUCACCAGCAGCAGAAGCU